UAAGAAAUGCCGACCACUGGCUUAGAUCAAUUAUGGGUUAUAAUACUCUAAAAGUUAUUAGAUAAACGCAGUGUUAAGACCAAAGUAAAGAAUAAACAUAAAAUUAGAUUUAAAAACAACUUUCUAAAAUAAAUAUUCUAACAAACUCCAAAAAGGGUAAAGUAAAAAAAAAUGUUAAUUGCUUAUUAGACUUACGACUACUUCAAUGUACUUCGGUUCGCGAUUGAGCUUGAUCGGUUCGGUUCGCGAUUGAAAUUGAUCAGCUCGGUUCGCGUGUGUGUAAAGUUGUGAAUGCAAAAGGCAAGUGCUGCUCAGUGCUGUUAGUUUUAUAAAAGUGUAGUGUUCAUUGAAAGAGUGAGAAAAUAGUGAAGUCAAUUAUUUUAUAAAAAAGUUCAUGUCAAUAAUAAAAAUGUGUCGUAUUUUAAAAAUAAAAAUAAAGUGGUAAAGGCAAAUAAUGCAAAUUGAAAUAAUAAAUGUGUAUGUUUUCAAAAAUAAAAGAGGCAUAGCCCAAAUUGUGUUCGAUUCGUUUCGUAUAAUAAUCGUUAUACCGUUCGUACUCGUUCUAUAAACAAUUACAGCAUCGCAAAUACACCAUGAAGAAGGCUUCAACUUCAAAGAAAUCGCUUAACGCCUUCUCCACUCAAACACCAGCCUAAGUCUGCUAAGCUCAACUUUUCUGCAGCUACGGCUUGCUCGCAAAUGGAACAACCAUUCAGCACUUAACCAUCACGCUCCUGCUCCUUACUGCCGGCAGCUGCUAUUAUUGCAGAAACGCUAACAUAACUACCGCUCUCAACAUAAGAAGAGAAAGAGGCACCACACGCACUUAAAGAGACAAUCCAGAAAAUGUACACAUGUAUGUAUGUAAAUAUCCACACAAAUACAUGCGAAAGCGACUAAAAAUAGUUGGGAGAAUACAAGUAUAUUAAACUACACUCUUUGCUCUUUGUUUUAUACAGAGUAAGUAGUGCUCUUUAGUUUGCAAUAUGCGCUGGGCGCUCUUCGCUCUAUGCUGCUUUGCUGGAGCUGCUGCGCAACUGAAUAAGUUGUAUGCGUUUGUAGUAGAAUUGCCAGCGUAAAUUAAUUGCUCUAAAAAGAAUUUAAGUAAAUAAGCAACAUAAAUCGGAAGGAGAGUGUAUGGGAAACGGAAAUGAACUGCAUAAGCGAACUUCAAUACACAAAGGGGAACGGAAAUGAAUUUUAUAAAAGGUUUACAAUUAAAAAAGGGGUAAUUGGAGGUGAAAAGUUGAGAGUAAUAAGCGCAAUUAGCUUAUAUUUGUAAGCAUUUCCAAUAAAAUAAUUAGUCGAUGAGAAUAACUCGGCAGUGCUGGUGACUAACUACAUUAAUUGCUAAACAAUAUUGAGCAGACAUAAACUUUUUUAGAAAUUUUAGCAAAAGUGAUUAAAUUUCAUUGAGUGAACCGCUUUUUGUAAAAAAUAGAAGUGAUAAUUGUAGAAAAACUUAAAAUUGUGUAAUUAACUGGAAAAUAAAAACGGAAAUGGGUAUAGAGAAAUGAGAGUCGGUUUGUGUCGUUUCCGUUCGGCUUAAAAUGUGUCGUAAUUUUUUGCGCAGCGAACGCUAGACAUAUGUAUGUAUGUGAGAGCGCAGAGCAUAACUGCAAAAACGGAAAUAGUUGAUUGGGUGUAAAUAAAUAAAAAACCGAAGUAAUUGAGAAAUCAAAGUUAACUAUAUGUGAGCAUAUAAACGAAUGUAUAUAUAUUUCUAAAAGAGCGCAAGCGAAAAACAUACUCUACAGCUAUCAACUAUGGUUUCUAAUGCUUUAUAAAAGAUUUUUAAACGCAAUGUUAAGAAAAAAGUCAAAAAUAAACGUAAAAAGUAAUAUGGUAUAUAAAAAAUCCUAACAAACUCCAAAACUUUCAGUAAAAUGUAAAAGAAAAACUUUUAAAAUGCUUAUUAGUGUUAGGACUACUUAAAUUAAGUGCGGUGCGCGAUUAUCGGUUCGGUUCGCGGGUAAGAUCGAUCGGCUCGGUUCGUGUGUGUGUAAGCUGUUUAUGCAACCAGCAAGUGCUGCCCAGUGUUGUCAGUUUUAUAAAAGUGUAGUGUUCAUAGAAAAAGUUAGAAAGUAGUGAAAUCAAUUAUUUCAUAAAAAAGUUCAAGUCAAUAUAAAAAUGUGUCGCCUUUUAAAAAAAUAUAAGUGAAAAAUAUAAAGUAGUGAUAUCAAUUAUUUUAUUAAAAAAAAGGCCAAGUGUAUAUAAAUAUGUGCCGUCUUUUAAAAAUAAAAAUAAAGUGGUAAAGGCAAGAAAUGCAAGUUGAAAUAGUAAAUGUGUGUGUUUUCAAACAUAAAAGAGGCAGAGAAAAGUGAGAGCCCAAAUUGUGUUCGAUUCGUUUCGUAUAAUAAUCGUUAUGUCGUUCGUUCUCGUUUAAUAAAAAAUUACAAUAUCGUAAAAAACUCAUGGAGCUGCUGGAAAAGGCUUCAACUUCAAAUAAUCCUUUAACGGUGAGUCAUUUUUCAUAUCUAUCACAUACAUGUGUAUCUAUAUUUAAUAUAUUUAUAUAUUUCACCAAAUAUAUACAUUAAAAUUAAAUCUGACAACUUUUUUAAAAAACUAUUUUAGAGAAAACUAAAGCGUCAUCUUCAGUAAAGUCUUCCAACUCUUUGACAUUGCGUUUUUAUUUAUUUUUUCACUAGCACUUUAUGAAAAAUUUAUUUUUUAUUUAAUUUCUUGUAAUAAUUAAAUAAAUCAUAUAUGUUUCACCAAGUAUAUCCAUCAAAUUUAAAUCUAGCAACUGUGUUCAAAAAUAGCGAUGUUCGGGAGAAUUAAAGUAUCACCGUUAAAUAAAAAGACAUUUCUGUUUCAAAAUAUUUUGCUUUAUUUUCGCAAAUAGCAUAAAGUAUGUGUAAACCACAUUACUCGUUCAGGAAUUAUGAUUAUCUAUCUACAUCGUCUUCUUCAUCCUUUUCAACACUUUCUUCUACCAUAGGUCUUCUCCUUUGUAUACCUGCUCCAAUGUUCGAUAAACCUUCAUCAAAAUUAAAAUAUAGAUAGCUAUUGAAGGCUUCUACAGGAAUACGUUCUCUAAAAGUAGCACUUGGCCAAACCGCUUCCUCAACUGUCAAGUUUUUAUCGGGAUCCAUUGUGCCUUUGAUUAUUUCUUAAUAUGUAUCGUGAAUUUACUUUGAUGUGUGUCUUGUGUCGCCGAACGCUGAAUUUAUACUGAAUGUCUACUUUGGUGAUGAU
Molecule: long non-coding RNA, 3201 nt
Organism: Bactrocera dorsalis (oriental fruit fly)
Lineage: Eukaryota; Metazoa; Arthropoda; Insecta; Diptera; Tephritidae
Exons: 5
Source: RefSeq, a predicted model, not a curated record